This is a long non-coding RNA of Arabidopsis thaliana (thale cress), 329 nucleotides long. RefSeq annotates it as other RNA. The transcript has a single exon. The record is from RefSeq. NCBI's taxonomy places the organism in Eukaryota, Viridiplantae, Streptophyta, Magnoliopsida, Brassicales, Brassicaceae.
AGUUGAUGGCUCUUUUCAUCGCCCGUGGUGAAUACUAGAAAGGACUACUUUUCAUUUUCACCGUAAAGGUAAAAGAUUCAUACACCCUUGGCAUCAUCUGUAAACUUUGUUAUUUUGGUUUUCUUACUCUUUGUGCAGACUCCAUGGUUAGAUAACAUGCAUUGUGUUUGGACAAGUCAUUGAAGGUAUGAAGCUUGUGAGGACACUUGAAUCCCAGGAGAAAGGUUGCAGAAUCUAUGCCUGCGGAGAGCUCCCGAUGGAAGCUUAAAAACCACCAUUAAAACCGGUGCAUUGUCAUUGAUAUCCUUGUUCUGUUUUCUUAUUAUGAC